AUCCUGGCUCAGGAUGAACGCUAGCUAUAGGCUUAACACAUGCAAGUCGAGGGGAAACGACAUCGAAAGCUUGCUUUUGAUGGGCGUCGACCGGCGCACGGGUGAGUAACGCGUAUCCAACCUGCCCACCACUUGGGGAUAACCUUGCGAAAGUAAGACUAAUACCCAAUGAUAUCUCUAGAAGACAUCUGAAAGAGAUUAAAGAUUUAUCGGUGAUGGAUGGGGAUGCGUCUGAUUAGCUUGUUGGCGGGGUAACGGCCCACCAAGGCUACGAUCAGUAGGGGUUCUGAGAGGAAGGUCCCCCACAUUGGAACUGAGACACGGUCCAAACUCCUACGGGAGGCAGCAGUGAGGAAUAUUGGUCAAUGGACGAGAGUCUGAACCAGCCAAGUAGCGUGCAGGAUGACGGCCCUAUGGGUUGUAAACUGCUUUUAUAAGGGAAUAAAGUGAGUCUCGUGAGACUUUUUGCAUGUACCUUAUGAAUAAGGACCGGCUAAUUCCGUGCCAGCAGCCGCGGUAAUACGGAAGGUCCGGGCGUUAUCCGGAUUUAUUGGGUUUAAAGGGAGCGUAGGCCGGAGAUUAAGCGUGUUGUGAAAUGUAGAUGCUCAACAUCUGCACUGCAGCGCGAACUGGUUUCCUUGAGUACGCACAAAGUGGGCGGAAUUCGUGGUGUAGCGGUGAAAUGCUUAGAUAUCACGAAGAACUCCGAUUGCGAAGGCAGCUCACUGGAGCGCAACUGACGCUGAAGCUCGAAAGCGUGGGUAUCGAACAGGAUUAGAUACCCUGGUAGUCCACGCGGUAAACGAUGGAUGCUCGCUGUUUGCGUCUGACGUAAGCGGCCAAGCGAAAGC
Molecule: ribosomal RNA, 851 nt
Filed under: uncultured bacterium
Lineage: Bacteria
Description: bacterial SSU rRNA
Rfam family: Bacterial small subunit ribosomal RNA
Source: RNAcentral